ACUCUGCCUCGUGCAGAGAGUGGGAGGCCGGGAAGUUGUUCAAACUUGAUCAUUUAGAGGAAGUAAAAGUCGUAACAAGGUUUCCGUAGGUGAACCUGCGGAAGGAUCAUUACCGAGUAGCUACCUACCUCCGCUGGCCGCGAGUCAGUGGAUGAGUGGGGUGUUUACUACCGUGUGAACCGACUGAAAAAUUUUUUAGGGGUCGGCUCGUUCCGUUAAAAGGGGAGCACCGUGAUGAGCCACCAGCUGGUGAGCCUCGCGGUGGGCUCCUGCCCCGACAGUGUUUUUUAAAGGACACAUUUGAUGUAAAAGACUGAGCGCAGUGAGAGAGAUAUGUUCUAACAUAGAAACAUAAAAGUGUGACAACUUUUGACGGUGGAUCUCUAGGCUCACGCAUCGAUGAAGAACGCAGCCAGCUGCGAUAAGUAGUGUGAAUUGCAGAAUUCAGUGAAUCAUCGAAUCUU
Molecule: unclassified non-coding RNA, 464 nt
Filed under: Stylophora sp. D RA-2016
Lineage: Eukaryota; Metazoa; Cnidaria; Anthozoa; Scleractinia; Pocilloporidae
Description: sequence contains 18S rRNA gene, ITS1, 5.8S rRNA gene
Rfam family: 5.8S ribosomal RNA (bases 365-464)
Source: RNAcentral